CUGGCAGUCAGAUUUGAUUCCCUACUUAGAAAUGUAUUUUCACUAGGUAAAGAAAGCUCUUUAUGGUUCACUGAGGACAAUCCCUUCACAAUCUAGAACCUGAUUGGAUCUUCUGAGAAUAUCAGAGAAAGACUGUCCUUGCCAUCCACACUACAGCAAAACUGGAGCCUUGAACUUUGGGGUCAUAAUCUCACAACUGAGAAGAGUUCCUCCACACUCCUGGAACUGUACCUCCAUUGGUACCCUUAAGCCUCCAACUGCAAUUCUCAACACACGCUUAACACUACUAUCCGCCAGUGAGGAAGGACUUUCCACGACUUCUGAAGCAACAUAUUAAGGACAAAGAAUAAACACAGAAGAAUCAGGUAUACUCGCAAGAGGAAGAAGAGGUCAGGAAAGCCUUCACAUAAGAAGUGGUGCUUCUUGAAGGAACAGAGGUGCUUCUUGAAGGAACAGAACCAUGUGCCUGCCUCACCUUGCUGUUCUGAAGAUUUAGUAACAUCAUUUAUUUCAAGCAUUCAGCAUACCUGCAGUCCACAAAUGUUAGUGAAAAACAAAUGUUUUUGUUGGUUGUUUUAUUAUUCCACAGUGACCCUCUGAAUCUGUCAGAAUUCUCGAUGCCAAACAACAAAAACUUCCUCCGGGUAAUCUAAGCAGAAGAGAAAGUUAUUGGAAGGGUCUUAGAGAGCGCAGUGAACCAACAGGAAGCAGGCUCCAUACAGUGGCAGGAACCAAGCGAGGCUGGGCAGUUGAGGACACAGCCGAGGCCAGCCCAGGAGCAGUCUGGUUAGGUUGAUGCCAUGCGACAACCAGGGUGGUUGUCAGCCAUCCCCGGAACUGUGCGUCACUCCCUCAGGGUGUCACACCCUUGGUGAGAGAACCCAUCGGCUAAUCCAGGUCAAUUUACACAGAAGGAAGUAGGGCCCUUGUUUCUAAGAAAAAUUACAUUCCAGGGCCUAUUUUUUUUUUAUUUGUUUGUUUUUUGAG
This 987-nucleotide long non-coding RNA is filed under the name Homo sapiens (human). Its description in RNAcentral is "HSALNT0353060". Lineage: Eukaryota; Metazoa; Chordata; Mammalia; Primates; Hominidae. The record is from RNAcentral.